CAUAGCUGUAACAGCAAGAGAGGUUCAUCAGAUCAGUAACUAAGCCCCAACCCAGAAGGAAACAGAUGUGGGCUGCUUGAGGGGAGAGAGGAGGGUCUUCUUGUGGGAGCUGACGAGAAUGAGGGGACCCUCAGAGAUUCUGACGGGAAAUUCAGUGCAAAGGUUGGUACCCCAUCCAGGAUAUCUGUGCCUUGUGCCCUAAGAGUACCACUUAUCCUAUGGAUACUACAGGACAUGCCGAGCACUUACGCUAAUGGAGCUAAGUGGAAUGAAUGGAGAAAGUGAUGCAGAGAGUCACUGCACAUGAAGAGAUGUGGAGGUGAUGUAAUAUACAGUAGUUUUUUUCUUUUAGAGUGUAAAUAGCCAUCACUCAGGCCUGAUUGUGCUUAUUAAAGGAUGCAGAGAUGUUGAACAUGAGUAUGAAAAAAACAGGAAAAUCGCUUCUCGGCCUUUUGGCUAAGAUCAAGUGUAGUAAAAAAUACAGGAAAAAUACAGGAAAUCAUGGUACAAGUGUCAAAGUGACCACUCACACAUUCCUAUAGAACUGUUUCUCUGGUGUUACCAUAAUAGCCAGUAAACAUACAGUGAGUGCAUCAUACGUGACGCAGUAAAUGACAGCUGAUGAGCACAGAACAAUGGAGAGCUGACUGACCAAAUGACCACUAAACACAAUUAAUAUGCUGAAUCAGCCUGACCUUCAGGGCUAACAGGAUUUCUGCACUCACAUACACAAUAUCCACUCAAAUUUACUGCUUUAGCCUUAACACAGCAAGGGCAAAUAAGGCAGGGAUAAGAACCCAGUGGAUUAUGUUGUGGAACCGACCUCAACAGUGGCAAUGCUCUACUAGCUUAAUCUAAUGCUUCCUCCAAAUAUCAAACAUGUUAAAGAGGAACGUUAUAAACAUUACAUUCAAAGCAAAAAGCAGUAACCUUACAGGUCUGUUUUCUUUGUGCAAUUCGAGUAACCAGUGUUGACAAUGGGGUUGAUUUCUUUAUAGCCCACUGCAGACUGAAUAAUGUCCAUUUGAGCUGGUAUCAUCAGAAAUCAAGAAAUCGCAUACAAAACAGUCAUAAGUGCAUCAGUAUGAAACAGUGUGGAUUAUAAACCCAUCCUUCUUUCCCUAAAAUUCUAUUGGAGGAAAAACUAAAAGACUAAUAUAAUAAUAAAUAAUAUGAGAAAAAUAUAAAAACACCAGUCAAUCACAGUAUUGUCACAAAAAAAAUCACAAAAAAAGUUUAGCGCUUCUUGGUUUGAAUGUAAGGGUUACAACUUUCCCCUUUUUCAUGUCUGGUAUUUGGAGGAAACACGGCAUAAAGCUGGUAAAGAGAUAAUGCGAGGGUUAUAUCUGGGGUAAAACCCAUGCGGGUCCAAUGGUCCUCCAUGAUGACACAAAACAGUGAGAGGUCAAGGUUCAAGAACUACAAUACAUUGUAGCUCUCACAUUUAAUAUCACAUCACUCAAAAAUACAAGAAGAACAUUUUGUGCAGCAAGAUUUUGUUUAAAUGCAAUCAGUAAAUGCUCAGUUAAUACAUGUAAAUAACAUGGGAUUAGACCACAGAGCUGGACUCUCUAAUUGGUUACACAGCAGCCAGUCACAAGGCCAGUGGUCACUGUGUAUCUGGGGAAGUGGCUUUGGACAAUAAUCAGAUCAGCUGCUCACUACUCCACCCAAUUCCACAAACUAGAUGAUUGCAGAAGUUCUCUUCAUCCUCAUUGAUUUAAUGACCUACUUUCAAAACAAAGCAAACCAAAAAAAAUCUUUGACCUUUUUUUUUUUUAACUUCAUCCAAUUUAA
This is a long non-coding RNA of Tachysurus fulvidraco (yellow catfish), 1797 nucleotides long. RefSeq lists it as uncharacterized. The transcript is spliced from 3 exons. The record is from RefSeq and is a predicted model, not a curated record. NCBI's taxonomy places the organism in Eukaryota, Metazoa, Chordata, Actinopteri, Siluriformes, Bagridae.